CGGAGUGUAGCUCAGCCUGGUAGAGCACUGUCUUCGGGAGGCAGGGGCCGUGAGUUCGAAUCUCGCCACUCCGA
Molecule: transfer RNA, 74 nt
Organism: Parvularcula bermudensis HTCC2503
Lineage: Bacteria; Pseudomonadati; Pseudomonadota; Alphaproteobacteria; Parvularculales; Parvularculaceae
Rfam family: tRNA
About the family: Transfer RNA (tRNA) molecules are approximately 80 nucleotides in length. Their secondary structure includes four short double-helical elements and three loops (D, anti-codon, and T loops).
Source: Rfam